This 180-nucleotide ribosomal RNA is filed under the name uncultured Glomeromycotina. RNAcentral describes it as "partial small subunit ribosomal RNA". The stretch from base 88 to 180 matches the Rfam family "Eukaryotic small subunit ribosomal RNA", at positions 735 to 830 of the family's 1831-position model. The record is from RNAcentral. Lineage: Eukaryota; Fungi; Glomeromycota.
GGCCUGGCUGGUCGGUCCGCCUAACCGCGUGCACUGAUUCGGCCGGGUCUUUCCUUCUGGCUAACCUCAUGUCCUUUACUGGGUGUGUUGGGGAUCCAGGACUUUUACUUUGAAAAAAUUAGAGUGUUCAAAGCAGGCCUAUGCUCGAAUACAUUAGCAUGGAAUAAUAGAAUAGGACUU